GAUUAACGCUAGCGGCAGGCAUAAUACAUGCAAGUUGAACGGCAGCACAGGUAGCAAUACUGGGUGGCGAGUGGCGCACGGGUGCGUAACACGUAUGCAACCUACCCUAUACAGGCGAAUAACCUUUAGAAAUGAGGGCUAAUACGCCGAAGUAUUACAGAUGGGCAUCUAUUUGUAAUUAAAGAUUUAUCGGUAUAGGAUGGGCAUGCGUCCCAUUAGUUAGUUGGUAAGGUAACGGCUUACCAAGACGAUGAUGGGUAGGGGAUCUGAGAGGACUUACCCCCACACUGGUACUGAGACACGGACCAGACUCCUACGGGAGGCAGCAGUAAGGAAUAUUGGGCAAUGGCCGCGAGGCUGACCCAGCCAUGCCGCGUGCAGGAAGACGGCCUUAUGGGUUGUAAACUGCUUUUAUACGGGAAUAAUAGAGUGUACGCGUACAUUUAUGCAAGUAUCGUAUGAAUAAGCAUCGGCUAACUCCGUG
RNAcentral lists this ribosomal RNA (484 nucleotides) under uncultured bacterium. RNAcentral's name for it is "partial 16S ribosomal RNA". It matches the Rfam family "Bacterial small subunit ribosomal RNA", at positions 28 to 507 of the family's 1533-position model. The record is from RNAcentral.